ACUCGGGUUCGUGGUCGCUCGCGCGGCCCCGGGGCGGCGGCGCCAUCGUCCAUCGUUGACUUUGGUCGUCCGUUCGCAUUCCCGGCCCUUUCCGCCGGUGUCGAUCGCUGCAUGACGGCCUCGGGUGGCAGCUUGGCUACGGGGAGCGUGGCGUCCGCGCGUCGUUUCGGCGGCGCGUGUCUCNUCCGGGCGGSGGGGGAGCGGACCGACUCUCGCGGGUCUUCUCUUCGUCUCUCUCUCUACCCCUCCUCCGCCUCGCCACGCGCNCGUGCUUGCCGUCGGCGAUCUCUCCUCCAAGGGUGCUCUUAACCGAGUGUCCGCGGCGGCCGGUACGUUCACUUUGAAAAAAUUAGAGUGCUCAGAGCGGGCUGUUCAAGCUUGCAUACGAUAAGCAUGGAAUGAUGGAAGAGGGCCUCGUNUACGUCUGUCGGUCUCCGUCUACGGCGAGGCAAUGAUCGAAGGGAGCGGUCGGGGCCACUCGUAUUGCGACGUUAGAGGUGAAAUUCUUGGAUCGUCGCAAGACGAACUGCAGCGAUGGCGUGUGGCAAGCACGUUUUCCUCGAUCAAGAGCGAAAGUCGGAGGUUCGAAGACGAUCAGAUACCGUCGUAGUUCCGACCGUAAACGAUGCCGACCGGCGAUCCGCCGGCGUUCGCUUCCAUGACCCGGCGGGUAGCCUGCGGGAAACCAGAGUUCGGUUCCGGGGNGAGUAUGGUUGCAAAGCUGAAACUUANNGGAAUUGACGGAAGGGCACCACCAGGAGUGGAGCCUGCGGCUUANUUUGACUCAACACGGGAAAACUCACCCGGUCCGGACACCGGUAGGAUUGACAGAUCGAUAGCUCUUUCUCGAUUCGGUGGGUGGUGGUGCAUGGCCGUUCUUAGUUGGUGGAGCGAUCCGUCUGGUUGAUUCCGAUAACGAACGAGACUCCGGCCUGCUAACUAGUGCGCCGAUGUGAGUGCGGCGUCCUCCGCGGCGUCGCGUGCGGGCUCUCCGCGGGUGUGUCGCGUCGUGGUCUCUCGCGGGUCGUUGCGGUCGUCCUCCCACCCUUUAACCGGGGUGGNGGCGUUCGUGCGNUCGCGGCGGGGUCUCGCGCGUGGUGCGCUCUCGGGUCCGGGUCGGUUUCUCACGCACUUCUUAGAGGGACGGGUGGCAGAAAGCCACACGAGGCGGAGCGAUAACAGGUCUGUGAUGCCCUUAGAUGUCCGGGGCCGCACGCGCGCUACACUGGAGGUAUCAGCGGGGACUUCGCCCCGGCCCGAGAGGGUCGGGAAACCUCUCAACCACCUCCCGUGAUAGGGAUCGGGGCCUGUAACUAACCCCGUGAACGAGGAAUUCCCGGUAGGCGCGGGUCAACAGCCCGCGUCGAUCACGUCCCUGCCCUUUGUACACACCGCCCGUCGCUACUACCGAUCGAACGGUCCGGUGAGGUCCUCGGAUCUGGCCGACGACGCCGCCGGGUGUCGGCUGNGCUCUCCUUCGCGGGGGNGCCUGUCGUUUGCCUCGGCGUUCGAUGCCUGGAGAAGACGACCGAACCCGAUCGNUUAGAGGAA
RNAcentral lists this ribosomal RNA (1551 nucleotides) under Todaropsis eblanae. RNAcentral's name for it is "SSU rRNA". The stretch from base 204 to 1551 matches the Rfam family "Eukaryotic small subunit ribosomal RNA". The record is from RNAcentral. Lineage: Eukaryota; Metazoa; Mollusca; Cephalopoda; Oegopsida; Ommastrephidae.